RNAcentral lists this small RNA (179 nucleotides) under Sphenodon punctatus (tuatara). RNAcentral's name for it is "TUC338 (ENSSPUG00000018528.1)". Lineage: Eukaryota; Metazoa; Chordata; Lepidosauria; Sphenodontia; Sphenodontidae. The record is from RNAcentral.
ACAGCACCUCUGGAGACUGAAGGCCUUUAUUUAACUACCACAUAGAUACAACACUGGCAGAAGCAAUGCAAGCUUCCCUUACUGUACCAUGCCAAUGUGUUUUAACUGUAAACUGAAGGGACCACCUCUAAGAGUUGGGAGGCAGCUCAAUCUCCACUGCACUCUAGUGCUAUUCCCAU